Long non-coding RNA from Hippocampus comes (tiger tail seahorse), 521 nucleotides. RefSeq lists it as uncharacterized. The transcript has 3 exons. NCBI's taxonomy places the organism in Eukaryota, Metazoa, Chordata, Actinopteri, Syngnathiformes, Syngnathidae. The record is from RefSeq and is a predicted model, not a curated record.
CUGACACCGGCCGAUCCCACCGAGGCUCACUACGCAAACUUGGCUGACGCGGCGCCGACAGACGACGACGCCGACGACUAUGAAAAUUCGGAGUUCCUGGCGCAAAAGGCCCACCGGCCGGAGAACGAUUUGUUGUACGUGAACGAACAAGGCUCCCUUUUCUCUCGAGUCGAGGUUGCCACCAGGUGUCUGUCGUGAGAGGUCAUCACCCGUGCCACCGCAAAGGAUCAAAUUUCACUUUGUUGGUCUGAAAAUUAUUUAUUGACGACAAAUCAUGCAGCUUUGUUCAUCAACUGAGUCUUUACAUUCUAUUUAAUUCAUUGUCAUGACUGUAUGUUUUUUUUUUUUUUUUUUUGAUAAGUUGCAGUAUUCUAGCACACCAAAUAAAAAUAUUAUGAACGUUUGUUUCUUUUUUUCGGGCAGGCUGAAACAAAUUAAGUCAUUCGGUGCCAGCCAUUUUCAAAACUACCACGGGGUUUUAUUAUUUAGUUUUAAAUACAUAAAGACGUACCUGGUAUUGA